This 408-nucleotide ribosomal RNA is filed under the name uncultured bacterium. RNAcentral's name for it is "partial 16S ribosomal RNA". It matches the Rfam family "Bacterial small subunit ribosomal RNA", at positions 28 to 526 of the family's 1533-position model. The record is from RNAcentral.
GACGAACGCUGGCGGCGUGCUUAACACAUGCAAGUCGAACGAAGUGGCGAACGGGUGAGUAACGCGUAAUCAACCUGCCCUUCAGAGGGGGACAACAGUUGGAAACGACUGCUAAUACCGCAUACUGAAGGAGGGGAUUGCGUCUGAUUAGCUAGUUGGAGGGGGAACGGCCCACCAAGGCUAUGAUCAGUAGCAGUUCUGAGAGUAUGGACAGCCACAUUGUGACUUAGACACCGCCCAGACUCCUACGGUAGGCAGCAGUGUGGAAUCUUCCGCAAUGGACGGAAGUCUGACGGAGCAACGCCGCGUGAGUGAUGACGGCCUUCAGGUUGUAAAGCUCUGUUAAUCGGGACGCGGUACCUGAAUAGAAAGCCACGGCUAACUACGUGCCAGCAGCCGCGGUAAUUC